UCCCCGGUAGCUCAGUGGUAGAGCAAGCGGCUGUUAACCGUUAGGUCAAAGGUUCGAGUCCUUUUCGGGGAGCCA
This 75-nucleotide transfer RNA is filed under the name Candidatus Amphirhobacter heronislandensis. RNAcentral describes it as "Betaproteobacteria bacterium AqS2 (symbiont metagenome) tRNA-Asn". It matches the Rfam family "tRNA". From Rfam's summary of the family: Transfer RNA (tRNA) molecules are approximately 80 nucleotides in length. Their secondary structure includes four short double-helical elements and three loops (D, anti-codon, and T loops). Lineage: Bacteria; Pseudomonadati; Pseudomonadota; Gammaproteobacteria; Candidatus Tethybacterales; Candidatus Tethybacteraceae. The record is from RNAcentral.